RNAcentral lists this long non-coding RNA (806 nucleotides) under Parus major (Great Tit). RNAcentral's name for it is "lncRNA (ENSPMJG00000009442.1)". The record is from RNAcentral. Lineage: Eukaryota; Metazoa; Chordata; Aves; Passeriformes; Paridae.
CAGAGAUUUCCCCUUGAAGCACUGUUGCUUUACAGCCACUCUCCUGGCUAUCUUCUGCAGACCAUCCAUCUCCUGUCCAAAUUUGGUUAUUUUCAUUGACUGUGGCAGUGUCAGCAGAGGCAUUUUAUCUCUUUGUUCUGCAUGUGCAAGCAGGAAGGGCUCUUUAAGGGGGACUGUCACUUGUGACUUUGCUUGCUGCAUGUGUACCAUGAUAGGAGCACCUCUGUCCAGGAAAUUUUGAGAACAGCAGAAAAUGGAAGAAUAACUCAUCCAGAAGGAGAGGAUUAUGUAACAGUAGCGAAGGAGACUCAGCAGAGACAGGGAAAAUCCUUUGGAAAGUUGCUGAUUCUGCAGUGGCAUACACCUGCUAAUUGGUUUCAAAUAUUGGGGAGACACACUGCCAAAAAGCGGAAGAAAAGAGAAGAAGAAAAAAACCUUCAUAUUAAUACAGCUCAUUUAAAUUCAUUCAGAAAAAAAGCUAUAUAUUGCAACUGAAUAAAAUCCUCCUCUACUACCCAGGCUCCAUUUAAUGAAUGCUUGCCUUUGCUUCUAUGGACAAGUAUGAAUUCUCCUUGCUGCUGGUAAUGUCAUGGGGAUUGCUGUUUUAUCGAUCGAUGCACCUUGAUUUCCAUGUUUGUCUCCUAAAUGGCUACUGUCACCGAAAAAUCUCAUGUACAGUUCAUCUGGAAUUGCUCAAACAUGCAGAAUUCUAUGUGGUCUAAAAAUGGGGUCACUUCACUGUUCAUAACAGUUCUCCAAACAUUCAUUCACUGUCGAGCUGGAUUCCUGCAGGGGAAAUCUCUAUA